AUCCCCUUAGCGUAAUGGAUAGUGCGUUGAACUCCUAAUUCAAAAGUCGUGGCUUCGAAUCCCACAUAGGAGA
This is a non-coding RNA of Trichonephila clavipes, 73 nucleotides long. Lineage: Eukaryota; Metazoa; Arthropoda; Arachnida; Araneae; Nephilidae. The record is from the annotation of a GenBank genome assembly.